This is a long non-coding RNA of Stegodyphus dumicola, 360 nucleotides long. NCBI's taxonomy places the organism in Eukaryota, Metazoa, Arthropoda, Arachnida, Araneae, Eresidae. The record is from RefSeq and is a predicted model, not a curated record.
GUGAGGUUGUGGCAUCAACUGUCCUGAGCUAUCCUGAAAGCUUUGUUCGCACGCGGAGCCUAAAAUUAUGUAAACAGCGAAUAGAUUUGAACAAUCUCAAAAUAAAAGGACAGUUUCGGAGCGCAUAUUAAUACAAGUCCAUUAAUAGGGGUAGGUUUGCGCUUAGAAAGAGCUCUUUUCAAGAUACCAUAACCUCAGUAGUGCACAGGUGAAACAUCAGGAACUUUGCAGAAAUAUAUUGAAAAAGAAUUGGAAUAGUUAACUUCUACAUAUGAACAUGAAGAUGUAAAAAGGAGCUAUGUGACAAAGGACAAAUAUUACAGGAGCAACAAAAAACUAUCCCGUUCCUCACAAGAGUGU